Molecule: long non-coding RNA, 1452 nt
Organism: Microtus ochrogaster (prairie vole)
Lineage: Eukaryota; Metazoa; Chordata; Mammalia; Rodentia; Cricetidae
Source: RefSeq, a predicted model, not a curated record
GUGUGCAUCACCACCACAGAGCCAGGAACUUAUUAAUUACAAAUAGAAACCUUAACUUGCAAGGACUUCAUGCAGGACAAGCAGGAGCUUUACUGUCUAAACUGCAAACAAACUUAGCAAGGUGCGUUGUUCCUGUUCUGGUCUCCGGUUAACUGGCAAGGUAUGUUGUCCUGUUUUGAUCUCAAAUAUGUGGUCCCAGGGGUUGGCUUUCAAGCUUAGUGGCAUGUCUUUGUCCGCUGAGUUAUCUCACCUGAUGCUAACCCUUAAUGGGUGUGUGUGUGUGUGUGUGUGUGUCUGUGUCUGCCUGUGUGAGUUUUUGUGUGUUGUGUGCAUACGGUGACGAUGGGAGGCAGAAGUGAGUGUCAGAUCCCUGGAGCUAAUGUUAGAGCUGGGCGUGAGCUGCUCAAGAGGAACCAAAUCCAUGUGGUCUGUAAGAGCGCGUGCUCUUACUGAGCCAUCCUGAAUCCCGGAUGUUAGUGUUCCUAAGGAUGGUCUCAGAGCAGCCUGGGUCCUAGAGGAAGGCCUCUGGGGAUUGCCUGGCAACCUGUCUUAGAUAAAACAAUGGCCCCAGAGAGGAACCUGUGACUGUUGUUAGACCAGCUUCAACAAAACAUUCCAGGGUGGGGGUGUGAGGAUUAGAAAAGUUAGGCAGGAGGAACAGAGGUAAGAAACACAGAGGUGUAGGCUAGUACUGGGAGGGUUACUCAGUGCCUCCUGCACACUGAGUUCUUAGUCCGCCCGUGGUUAUUUUCCAUACACUUUCAUACCCCAAUACAAAAGGGGAGAGGGCCAAAGACGGCUUUAACAUGAUGCAAAGGACAACAAGAACAGUUACUGGUUUCAAUACUUUGAGACAUCCAGACAUUACUUCCCGAGUAAAGCAGAUGUUGCUUGGGGCAGUGAAAACACCCUAGACCAAGUAUCCUGCCGGCAGCCACUCCCUAGGUCAAACCUCCUUUUUCAAAAGAAGCAGAAGUGUGGGCGGACCUACCUGUACCUUAAUGUCAAAACCCUGUCUCGGGGUGUGUAGCCACACUUAACAACUUUGGGUAAGCUCCGACUCUCUGACCUUCAGACAAGGUUGAAUUGGCUCACAUUUUUUCUCAUUUUUCAGCCUCCACAGGAGAAGGCAAAAGGGACCUUCAGGUGGUGGGUGUUACCUGUACUGUCUGGAUGGAUCCUGUAUAAUCCCAUGCAAAUGAAUAUUCAAAUGAACAAAUCCACUUGAUUGGUACAGCUCAAUCUGCUCUAGCAAGAACAGAGGAUGCUGCCAGUGUGUAUGGCCUCCUCAGGAUUGGAUCCAUCUCCAACAGCCAGGGCUGCCUUGAUGCUCCUCUCCAGGUCGCUGGUACUCGUCUUGCUGGGUUUCGCUCCUGCGUCUGGGUGGACUUUCUUCAGCUGCACCCCCUGCCUGAUGGCCGCCAGAACUUGUUCAUUGACUGAGGUGCGAGG